GCUGAUGCGUUGUUGGGUAGGGGAGCGUUCUGUAAGCCUGCGAAGGUGACCUGUGAGGGUUGCUGGAGGUAUCAGAAGUGCGAAUGCUGACAUAAGUAACGAUAAAGCGGGUGAAAAGCCCGCUCGCCGGAAGACCAAGGGUUCCUGUCCAACGUUAAUCGGGGCAGGGUGAGUCGACCCCUAAGGCGAGGCCGAAAGGCGUAGUCGAUGGGAAACGGGUUAAUAUUCCCGUACUUGGUGUUACUGCGAAGGGGGGACGGAGAAGGCUAUGUUGGCCGGGCGACGGUUGUCCCGGUUUAAGCGUGUAGGUGUGUGUUCCAGGUAAAUCCGGUUCACUUUAACACUGAGGCGUGAUGACGAGGCACUACGGUGCUGAAGCAACAAAUGCCCUGCUUCCAGGAAAAGCCUCUAAGCAUCAGGUAACAUCAAAUCGUACCCCAAACCGACACAGGUGGUCAGGUAGAGAAUACCAAGGCGCUUGAGAGAACUCGGGUGAAGGAACUAGGCAAAAUGGUGCCGUAACUUCGGGAGAAGGCACGCUGACACGUAGGUGAAGUGAUUUACUCACGGAGCUGAAGUCAGUCGAAGAUACCAGCUGGCUGCAACUGUUUAUUAAAAACACAGCACUGUGCAAACACGAAAGUGGACGUAUACGGUGUGACGCCUGCCCGGUGCCGGAAGGUUAAUUGAUGGGGUCAGCGCAAGCGAAGCUCCUGAUCGAAGCCCCGGUAAACGGCGGCCGUAACUAUAACGGUCCUAAGGUAGCGAAAUUCCUUGUCGGGUAAGUUCCGACCUGCACGAAUGGCGUAAUGAUGGCCAGGCUGUCUCCACCCGAGACUCAGUGAAAUUGAACUCGCUGUGAAGAUGCAGUGUACCCGCGGCAAGACGGAAAGACCCCGUGAACCUUUACUAUAGCUUGACACUGAACAUUGAGCCUUGAUGUGUAGGAUAGGUGGGAGGCUUUGAAGUGUGGACGCCAGUCUGCAUGGAGCCGACCUUGAAAUACCACCCUUUAAUGUUUGAUGUUCUAACGUGGACCCGUAAUCCGGGUUGCGGACAGUGUCUGGUGGGUAGUUUGACUGGGGCGGUCUCCUCCUAAAGAGUAACGGAGGAGCACGAAGGUUGGCUAAUCCUGGUCGGACAUCAGGAGGUUAGUGCAAUGGCAUAAGCCAGCUUGACUGCGAGCGUGACGGCGCGAGCAGGUGCGAAAGCAGGUCAUAGUGAUCCGGUGGUUCUGAAUGGAAGGGCCAUCGCUCAACGGAUAAAAGGUACUCCGGGGAUAACAGGCUGAUACCGCCCAAGAGUUCAUAUCGACGGCGGUGUUUGGCACCUCGAUGUCGGCUCAUCACAUCCUGGGGCUGAAGUAGGUCCCAAGGGUAUGGCUGUUCGCCAUUUAAAGUGGUACGCGAGCUGGGUUUAGAACGUCGUGAGACAGUUCGGUCCCUAUCUGCCGUGGGCGCUGGAGAACUGAGGGGGGCUGCUCCUAGUACGAGAGGACCGGAGUGGACGCAUCACUGGUGUUCGGGUUGUCAUGCCAAUGGCACUGCCCGGUAGCUAAAUGCGGAAGAGAUAAGUGCUGAAAGCAUCUAAGCACGAAACUUGCCCCGAGAUGA
RNAcentral lists this ribosomal RNA (1613 nucleotides) under Salmonella enterica. Its description in RNAcentral is "partial 23S ribosomal RNA". It matches the Rfam family "Bacterial large subunit ribosomal RNA", at positions 1213 to 2807 of the family's 2925-position model. The record is from RNAcentral. Lineage: Bacteria; Pseudomonadati; Pseudomonadota; Gammaproteobacteria; Enterobacterales; Enterobacteriaceae. RNAcentral also lists the same sequence under 1 other name.